RNAcentral lists this transfer RNA (77 nucleotides) under Burkholderia multivorans. RNAcentral describes it as "tRNA-Met". It matches the Rfam family "tRNA". Rfam says of the family: Transfer RNA (tRNA) molecules are approximately 80 nucleotides in length. Their secondary structure includes four short double-helical elements and three loops (D, anti-codon, and T loops). Further hydrogen bonds mediate the characteristic L-shaped molecular structure. tRNAs have two regions of fundamental functional importance: the anti-codon, which is responsible for specific mRNA codon recognition, and the 3' end, to which the tRNAs corresponding amino acid is attached (by aminoacyl-tRNA synthetases). tRNAs cope with the degeneracy of the genetic code in two manners: having more than one tRNA (with a specific anti-codon) for a particular amino acid; and 'wobble' base-pairing, i.e. permitting non-standard base-pairing at the 3rd anti-codon position. Lineage: Bacteria; Pseudomonadati; Pseudomonadota; Betaproteobacteria; Burkholderiales; Burkholderiaceae. The record is from RNAcentral.
GGUGAUGUAGCUCAGCUGGUUAGAGCGGCGGCUUCAUAAGCCGUAGGUCGCGAGUUCGAGUCUCGCCAUCACCACCA